Molecule: ribosomal RNA, 468 nt
Filed under: uncultured bacterium
Lineage: Bacteria
Description: partial 16S ribosomal RNA
Rfam family: Bacterial small subunit ribosomal RNA
Source: RNAcentral
GACGAACGCUGGCGGCGUGCUUAACACAUGCAAGUCGAACGGAAAGGCCCUGCUUUUGUGGGGUGCUCGAGUGGCGAACGGGUGAGUAACACGUGAGUAACCUGCCCUUGACUUUGGGAUAACUUCAGGAAACUGGGGCUAAUACCGGAUAGGAGCUCCUGCUGCAUGGUGGGGGUUGGAAAGUUUCGGCGGUUGGGGAUGGACUCGCGGCUUAUCAGCUUGUUGGUGGGGUAGUGGCUUACCAAGGCUUUGACGGGUAGCCGGCCUGAGAGGGUGACCGGCCACAUUGGGACUGAGAUACGGCCCAGACUCCUACGGGAGGCGGCAGUGGGGAAUAUUGCACAAUGGGCGGAAGCCUGAUGCAGCAACGCCGCGUGCGGGAUGACGGCCUUCGGGUUGUAAACCGCUUUCGCCUGUGACGAAGCGUGAGUGACGGUAAUGGGUAAAGAGGCACCGGCUAACUACGUG